This 427-nucleotide unclassified non-coding RNA is filed under the name soil metagenome. Its description in RNAcentral is "partial contains 5.8S ribosomal RNA, internal transcribed spacer 2, and large subunit ribosomal RNA". The stretch from base 1 to 120 matches the Rfam family "5.8S ribosomal RNA", at positions 35 to 154 of the family's 154-position model. The record is from RNAcentral.
GAUGAAGAACGUAGCGAAAUGCGAUACGUAAUGUGAAUUGCAGAAUUCAGUGAAUCAUCGAAUCUUUGAACGCAUAUUGCGCUCUUUGGUAUUCCGAAGAGCAUGCUUGUUUGAGUAUCAGUAAACACCUCAAAGACUUCAAUUUGUUUUGAAUGGCUUUGGACUUGAGCAAUCCCAACACCAGUCUUUACGAUCGGUGGAGGGUUGCUUGAAAUGCAGGUGCAGCUGGACAUUCUCCUGAGCUAAAAGCAUAUUUAUUUAGUCCCGUCAAACGGAUUAUUACUUUUGCUGCAGCUAACAUAAAGGGAGUUUGACCGUAUUGGCUGACUGAUGCAGGAUUUCACAAGGGUCGGCAACGAUUCUUGUAAAACUCGAUCUCAAAUCAAGUAAGACUACCCGCUGAACUUAAGCAUAUCAAUAGCGAGGA